CGGUCUAAGUUCCUUGGAACAGGACAUCACAGAGGGUGAGAAUCCCGUACGUGGUCGCCUGCCUUUGCCGUGUAAAGCUCCUUCGACGAGUCGAGUUGUUUGGGAAUGCAGCUCUAAAUGGGAGGUAAAUUUCUUCUAAAGCUAAAUACUGGCCAGAGACCGAUAGCGCACAAGUAGAGUGAUCGAAAGAUGAAAAGUACUUUGGAAAGAGAGUCAAAAAGCACGUGAAAUUGUUGAAAGGGAAGCGCUUGCAGCCAGACUUGCCCGCAGUUGCUCACCUAGGCUUUGGCCUGGGGCACUCUUCUGCGGGCAGGCCAGCAUCAGUUUGGGCGGUUGGAUAAAGGCCUCUGUCACGUAUCUCCCUUCGGGGUGACCUUAUAGGGGAGGCGCAAUGCAACCAGCCCGGACUGAGGUCCGCGCAUCUGCUAGGAUGCUGGCGUAAUGGCUGUAAGCGGCCCGUCUUGAAACACGGACCAAGGAGUCUAACAUCUAUGCGAGUGUUUGGGUGUCAAGCCCGAGCGCGCAAUGAAAGUGAACGGAGGUGGGAACCCUUUGGGUGCACCAUCGACCGAUCCUGAUGUCUUCGGAUGGAUUUGAGUAAGAGCAUAGCUGUUGGGACCCGAAAGAUGGUGAACUAUGCUUGAAUAGGGUGAAGCCAGAGGAAACUCUGGUGGAGGCUCGCAGCG
This 686-nucleotide ribosomal RNA is filed under the name soil fungal sp. DM2-438. Its description in RNAcentral is "eukaryotic LSU rRNA". It matches the Rfam family "Eukaryotic large subunit ribosomal RNA", at positions 177 to 882 of the family's 3401-position model. The record is from RNAcentral. Lineage: Eukaryota; Fungi.